This 497-nucleotide ribosomal RNA is filed under the name uncultured bacterium. RNAcentral describes it as "partial 16S ribosomal RNA". It matches the Rfam family "Bacterial small subunit ribosomal RNA", at positions 28 to 507 of the family's 1533-position model. The record is from RNAcentral.
GACGAACGCUGGCGGCGUGCCUAAUACAUGCAAGUAGAACGCUGAAGAGAGGAGCUUGCUCUUCUUGGCUGAGUUGCGAACGGGUGAGUAACGCGUAGGUAACCUGCCUGGUAGCGGGGGAUAACUAUUGGAAACGAUAGCUAAUACCGCAUAAAAUGGAUUAUCGCAUGAUAAUCCAUUGAAAGGUGCAAAUGCAUCACUACCAGAUGGACCUGCGUUGUAUUAGCUAGUUGGUGGGGUAACGGCUCACCAAGGCGACGAUACAUAGCCGACCUGAGAGGGUGAUCGGCCACACUGGGACUGAGACACGGCCCAGACUCCUACGGGAGGCAGCAGUAGGGAAUCUUCGGCAAUGGACGGAAGUCUGACCGAGCAACGCCGCGUGAGUGAAGAAGGUUUUCGGAUCGUAAAGCUCUGUUGUAAGAGAAGAACGAGUGUGAGAGUGGAAAGUUCACACUGUGACGGUAUCUUACCAGAAAGAGACGGCUAACUACGUG